Molecule: long non-coding RNA, 1465 nt
Organism: Oncorhynchus masou masou (cherry salmon)
Lineage: Eukaryota; Metazoa; Chordata; Actinopteri; Salmoniformes; Salmonidae
Exons: 2
Source: RefSeq, a predicted model, not a curated record
AAUCACCUUUUUAUUUUCUCAGAAAUUACAAUUUGGAGAGAUGGGCUAUGAUCUAUGAAUCAGUCCAAAACCCAAGAGGUGAACCUUUGAAUUGAUUGCGACCAAGGACCUCCACUUCACUGAUCCUCAACACUGGAGCCCCAAAAGGGUGCAUGCCCAGCCCACUCCUGUACUCCAUGUUCAUCCAUGACUGCGUAGCCACACACACCUCCAACUCAAUCAUCAAGUUUGCAGAUGACACAACCAUAGUUGGCCUGAUUACCAACAAUGGUGAGACAGCCUACAGGGAGGAGGUGAGAUCCCUGGUGAAGUGGUGCCAGGAAAAUAACCUCUCUCUCAACGUCAACAAAAUUAAGGAGUUGAUCGUGGACUUCAGGAAAAAGCAGAGGGAGCACGUCCCUAUCCACAUUGACGGGACCGCAGGGGAGAAGGUGGAAAGUUCCUCAGCGUACACAUCACUAACAAUCUGAAAUGGUCCACCCACAGACAGUGUGGUGAAGGCGCAACAGCGCCUCAUCAACCUCAGGAGGCUGAAGAAAUUUAGUUUUGGCCCCCAAGACUCUCAAACUUUUACAGGUGCACAAUUGAGAGCAUCCCGUCGUGCUGUAUCACCACCACCGCCAUGUAUUGCAUGGCAAUGGUGGCAACUGCACCUCCCAGAAAUGCAAGGCUCUACAGAGGGUGGUGCAGUCUGCCCAACGCAUCACCGGGGGGCACACUGCUUGCCCUCCAGGACACCUACAGCACCCAAUGUGAUAGGAAGGCCAAAAAUAUCACCAUGGACGUCAACCAUCCAACCGUCCGGCCUGUUCACCCCACUAUCAUCCAGAAGGUAAGGUCAGUACAGGUGCAUUAAAGCUGGGAACAAGAGACAAAAGCUGUUUUUCAAUCUCAAGGCCAUCAGACUGUUAAUUAGCCAUCACUAGCCGGCUACCACCUGUUACUCAACCCUGCACCUUAGAGGCUGCUGAAAUAUACAGACAAGGAAUCACUGGUCACUUUAAUGUUUACAUACUGCUUUACACAUUUCAUAUUUAUACAGUGUAUUCUCAUCCUAACAUCCUCAUCCUAAUAUUUAUAUGUUUCUUAAUUCCAUUAUUUUACUUUUAGAUGUGUGAAUUGUUAGAUAUUACUGCACUGUUGGAGCUAGGAACACAAGCAUUUCGCUACACCCGGAAUAACAUCUGCAAGAUUUGUGCAUGAGACCAAUACAAUUUCAUUUGAUUUUAAAUGCAUGUGUCUAUUACACAGUCCCCCUCAAACUACACAUAUUUGGUUAGUAGAGACCCUGUUCAGUGUUUUCCACCCCACUUUAGCUGUGACAGGUAGAAAAAGUUCUAUACAAGCCAAUAAGUAUAUGGCAAUGAAUGGUGGCGUAAGGAGUCACCAGUACUCUGUAUUAAACCUGUUGCCCAGCAAAAGUGUAUUUCUUUAAAUAUAGCCUACACAAUAGCUUUCAACAUAA